UACGUAGGGUGCGAGCGUUGUCCGGAUUUAUUGGGCGUAAAGAGCUCGUAGGCGGUCUGUCACGUCGGCUGUGAAAUCCCGAGGCUCAACCUCGGGUCUGCAGUCGAUACGGGCAAACUAGAGUAUUGCAGGGGAGACUGGAAUUCCUGGUGUAGCGGUGAAAUGCGCAGAUAUCAGGAGGAACACCGGUGGCGAAGGCGGGUCCUGCUGGCGAAUACUGGACGUGAGGAAGCGAAGGCGUGGGGAGAACG
RNAcentral lists this ribosomal RNA (251 nucleotides) under uncultured bacterium. Its description in RNAcentral is "partial 16S ribosomal RNA". It matches the Rfam family "Bacterial small subunit ribosomal RNA", at positions 524 to 774 of the family's 1533-position model. The record is from RNAcentral.